RNAcentral lists this ribosomal RNA (497 nucleotides) under uncultured bacterium. RNAcentral's name for it is "partial 16S ribosomal RNA". It matches the Rfam family "Bacterial small subunit ribosomal RNA", at positions 28 to 507 of the family's 1533-position model. The record is from RNAcentral.
GAUGAACGCUGGCGGCGUGCCUAAUACAUGCAAGUCGAGCGAACGGACGAGAAGCUUGCUUCUCUGAUGUUAGCGGCGGACGGGUGAGUAACACGUGGAUAACCUACCUAUAAGACUGGGAUAACUUCGGGAAACCGGAGCUAAUACCGGAUGAUAUUUUGAACCGCAUGGUUCAAAAGUGAAAGACGGUCUUGCUGUCACUUAUAGAUGUAUCCGCGCUGCAUUAGCUAGUUGGUAAGGUAACGGCUUACCAAGGCAACGAUGCAUAGCCGACCUGAGAGGGUGAUAGGCCACACUGGAACUGAGACACGGUCCAGACUCCUACGGGAGGCAGCAGUAGGGAAUCUUACGCAAUGGGAGAAAGCCUGACGGAGCAAAGACGCGUGAGUGAUGAAGGUCUUCGGAUCGUAAAACUCUGUUAUUAGGGAAGAACAUAUGUGUAAGUAACUGUGCACAUCUUGACGGUACCUAAUCAGAAAGCCACGGCUAACUACGUG